Molecule: ribosomal RNA, 253 nt
Filed under: uncultured bacterium
Lineage: Bacteria
Description: partial 16S ribosomal RNA
Rfam family: Bacterial small subunit ribosomal RNA
Source: RNAcentral
CCAAGUCGUGAGGCGGAGCUAAUCCCUUAAAGCCAUUCUCAGUUCGGAUUGUAGGCUGAAACUCGCCUACAUGAAGCUGGAGUUACUAGUAAUCGCAGAUCAGAAUGCUGCGGUGAAUGCGUUCCCGGGUCUUGUACACACCGCCCGUCACACCACGGAAGUUGGGGGCGCCCGAAGCCACUUAGCUAACCCUUUUGGGAAGCGAGUGUCGAAGGUGAAAUCAAUAACUGGGGUGAAGUCGUAACAAGGUAAC